Molecule: ribosomal RNA, 459 nt
Filed under: uncultured bacterium
Lineage: Bacteria
Description: partial 16S ribosomal RNA
Rfam family: Bacterial small subunit ribosomal RNA
Source: RNAcentral
CCUACGGGGGGCAGCAGUGAGGAAUAUUGGUCAAUGGUCGGGAGACUGAACCAGCCAAGCCGCGUGAGGGAUGAAGGUACAGAGUAUCGUAAACCUCUUUUGUCAGGGAACAAAGGCGGGGACGUGUCCACGGAUGAGUGUACCUGAAGAAACAGCAUCGGCUAACUCCGUGCCAGCAGCCGCGGUAAUACGGAGGAUGCGAGCGUUAUCCGGAUUUAUUGGGUUUAAAGGGUGCGCAGGCGGUCUGUUAAGUCAGCGGUCAAAGCCCGGGGUUCAACCCCGGCCCGCCGUUGAAACUGGCAGGCUCGAGUUGGAGAGAAGUAUGCGGAAUGAGCGGUGUAGCGGUGAAAUGCAUAGAUAGUGCGAAGAACUCCGAUUGCGAAGGCAGCAUGCCGGCCCCACACUGACGCUGAGGCACGAAAGCAUGGGUAUCGAACAGGAUUAGAUACCCCAGUAGUC